GAUGAACGCUGGCGGCAUGCCUAAUACAUGCAAGUCAAACGGGUGUAGCAAUACACAAGUGGCGAACGGGUGAGUAACACGUGGGUAACCUGCCCAUAAGAGGGGGAUAACAUCCGGAAACGGGUGCUAAUACCGCAUAGUUUUCUUGAUCGCAUGAUCGAGAAAGGAAAGACGGCCUUUGUGCUGUCGCUUAUGGAUGGACCCGCGGCGUAUUAGUUAGUUGGUGAGGUAACGGCUCACCAAGACGAUGAUACGUAGCCGACUGAGA
Molecule: ribosomal RNA, 268 nt
Filed under: uncultured bacterium
Lineage: Bacteria
Description: partial 16S ribosomal RNA
Rfam family: Bacterial small subunit ribosomal RNA
Source: RNAcentral